This 469-nucleotide ribosomal RNA is filed under the name uncultured bacterium. Its description in RNAcentral is "partial 16S ribosomal RNA". It matches the Rfam family "Bacterial small subunit ribosomal RNA", at positions 28 to 507 of the family's 1533-position model. The record is from RNAcentral.
GAUGAACGCUGGCGGCGUGCUUAACACAUGCAAGUCGAACGGUGAACACGGAGCUUGCUCUGUGGGAUCAGUGGCGAACGGGUGAGUAACACGUGAGCAACCUGCCCCUGACUCUGGGAUAAGCGCUGGAAACUGCGUCUAAUACUGGAUAUGUGACGUGACCGCAUGGUCUGCGUUUGGAAAGAUUUUUCGGUUGGAGCUGGGCUCGCGGCCUAUCAGCUUGUUGGUGGGGUAAUGGCUCACCAAGGCGUCGACGGGUAGCCGGCCUGAGAGGGUGACCGGCCACACUGGGACUGAGAUACGGCCCAGACUCCUACGGGAGGCAGCAGUGGGGAAUAUUGCACAAUGGGCGCAAGCCUGAUGCAGCAACGCCGCGUGAGGGAUGACGGCCUUCGGGUUGUAAACCUCUUUUAGCAGGGAAGAAGCGAAAGUGACGGUACCUGCAGAAAAAGCGCCGGCUAACUACGUG